This 6084-nucleotide long non-coding RNA is filed under the name Homo sapiens (human). Its description in RNAcentral is "non-protein coding MALAT1:10". The record is from RNAcentral. Lineage: Eukaryota; Metazoa; Chordata; Mammalia; Primates; Hominidae.
AACCUAUUUUUAACCGAAGAACUACUUUUUGCCUCCCUCACAAAGGCGGCGGAAGGUGAUCGAAUUCCGGUGAUGCGAGUUGUUCUCCGUCUAUAAAUACGCCUCGCCCGAGCUGUGCGGUAGGCAUUGAGGCAGCCAGCGCAGGGGCUUCUGCUGAGGGGGCAGGCGGAGCUUGAGGAAACCGCAGAUAAGUUUUUUUCUCUUUGAAAGAUAGAGAUUAAUACAACUACUUAAAAAAUAUAGUCAAUAGGUUACUAAGAUAUUGCUUAGCGUUAAGUUUUUAACGUAAUUUUAAUAGCUUAAGAUUUUAAGAGAAAAUAUGAAGACUUAGAAGAGUAGCAUGAGGAAGGAAAAGAUAAAAGGUUUCUAAAACAUGACGGAGGUUGAGAUGAAGCUUCUUCAUGGAGUAAAAAAUGUAUUUAAAAGAAAAUUGAGAGAAAGGACUACAGAGCCCCGAAUUAAUACCAAUAGAAGGGCAAUGCUUUUAGAUUAAAAUGAAGGUGACUUAAACAGCUUAAAGUUUAGUUUAAAAGUUGUAGGUGAUUAAAAUAAUUUGAAGGCGAUCUUUUAAAAAGAGAUUAAACCGAAGGUGAUUAAAAGACCUUGAAAUCCAUGACGCAGGGAGAAUUGCGUCAUUUAAAGCCUAGUUAACGCAUUUACUAAACGCAGACGAAAAUGGAAAGAUUAAUUGGGAGUGGUAGGAUGAAACAAUUUGGAGAAGAUAGAAGUUUGAAGUGGAAAACUGGAAGACAGAAGUACGGGAAGGCGAAGAAAAGAAUAGAGAAGAUAGGGAAAUUAGAAGAUAAAAACAUACUUUUAGAAGAAAAAAGAUAAAUUUAAACCUGAAAAGUAGGAAGCAGAAGAAAAAAGACAAGCUAGGAAACAAAAAGCUAAGGGCAAAAUGUACAAACUUAGAAGAAAAUUGGAAGAUAGAAACAAGAUAGAAAAUGAAAAUAUUGUCAAGAGUUUCAGAUAGAAAAUGAAAAACAAGCUAAGACAAGUAUUGGAGAAGUAUAGAAGAUAGAAAAAUAUAAAGCCAAAAAUUGGAUAAAAUAGCACUGAAAAAAUGAGGAAAUUAUUGGUAACCAAUUUAUUUUAAAAGCCCAUCAAUUUAAUUUCUGGUGGUGCAGAAGUUAGAAGGUAAAGCUUGAGAAGAUGAGGGUGUUUACGUAGACCAGAACCAAUUUAGAAGAAUACUUGAAGCUAGAAGGGGAAGUUGGUUAAAAAUCACAUCAAAAAGCUACUAAAAGGACUGGUGUAAUUUAAAAAAAACUAAGGCAGAAGGCUUUUGGAAGAGUUAGAAGAAUUUGGAAGGCCUUAAAUAUAGUAGCUUAGUUUGAAAAAUGUGAAGGACUUUCGUAACGGAAGUAAUUCAAGAUCAAGAGUAAUUACCAACUUAAUGUUUUUGCAUUGGACUUUGAGUUAAGAUUAUUUUUUAAAUCCUGAGGACUAGCAUUAAUUGACAGCUGACCCAGGUGCUACACAGAAGUGGAUUCAGUGAAUCUAGGAAGACAGCAGCAGACAGGAUUCCAGGAACCAGUGUUUGAUGAAGCUAGGACUGAGGAGCAAGCGAGCAAGCAGCAGUUCGUGGUGAAGAUAGGAAAAGAGUCCAGGAGCCAGUGCGAUUUGGUGAAGGAAGCUAGGAAGAAGGAAGGAGCGCUAACGAUUUGGUGGUGAAGCUAGGAAAAAGGAUUCCAGGAAGGAGCGAGUGCAAUUUGGUGAUGAAGGUAGCAGGCGGCUUGGCUUGGCAACCACACGGAGGAGGCGAGCAGGCGUUGUGCGUAGAGGAUCCUAGACCAGCAUGCCAGUGUGCCAAGGCCACAGGGAAAGCGAGUGGUUGGUAAAAAUCCGUGAGGUCGGCAAUAUGUUGUUUUUCUGGAACUUACUUAUGGUAACCUUUUAUUUAUUUUCUAAUAUAAUGGGGGAGUUUCGUACUGAGGUGUAAAGGGAUUUAUAUGGGGACGUAGGCCGAUUUCCGGGUGUUGUAGGUUUCUCUUUUUCAGGCUUAUACUCAUGAAUCUUGUCUGAAGCUUUUGAGGGCAGACUGCCAAGUCCUGGAGAAAUAGUAGAUGGCAAGUUUGUGGGUUUUUUUUUUUUACACGAAUUUGAGGAAAACCAAAUGAAUUUGAUAGCCAAAUUGAGACAAUUUCAGCAAAUCUGUAAGCAGUUUGUAUGUUUAGUUGGGGUAAUGAAGUAUUUCAGUUUUGUGAAUAGAUGACCUGUUUUUACUUCCUCACCCUGAAUUCGUUUUGUAAAUGUAGAGUUUGGAUGUGUAACUGAGGCGGGGGGGAGUUUUCAGUAUUUUUUUUUGUGGGGGUGGGGGCAAAAUAUGUUUUCAGUUCUUUUUCCCUUAGGUCUGUCUAGAAUCCUAAAGGCAAAUGACUCAAGGUGUAACAGAAAACAAGAAAAUCCAAUAUCAGGAUAAUCAGACCACCACAGGUUUACAGUUUAUAGAAACUAGAGCAGUUCUCACGUUGAGGUCUGUGGAAGAGAUGUCCAUUGGAGAAAUGGCUGGUAGUUACUCUUUUUUCCCCCCACCCCCUUAAUCAGACUUUAAAAGUGCUUAACCCCUUAAACUUGUUAUUUUUUACUUGAAGCAUUUUGGGAUGGUCUUAACAGGGAAGAGAGAGGGUGGGGGAGAAAAUGUUUUUUUCUAAGAUUUUCCACAGAUGCUAUAGUACUAUUGACAAACUGGGUUAGAGAAGGAGUGUACCGCUGUGCUGUUGGCACGAACACCUUCAGGGACUGGAGCUGCUUUUAUCCUUGGAAGAGUAUUCCCAGUUGAAGCUGAAAAGUACAGCACAGUGCAGCUUUGGUUCAUAUUCAGUCAUCUCAGGAGAACUUCAGAAGAGCUUGAGUAGGCCAAAUGUUGAAGUUAAGUUUUCCAAUAAUGUGACUUCUUAAAAGUUUUAUUAAAGGGGAGGGGCAAAUAUUGGCAAUUAGUUGGCAGUGGCCUGUUACGGUUGGGAUUGGUGGGGUGGGUUUAGGUAAUUGUUUAGUUUAUGAUUGCAGAUAAACUCAUGCCAGAGAACUUAAAGUCUUAGAAUGGAAAAAGUAAAGAAAUAUCAACUUCCAAGUUGGCAAGUAACUCCCAAUGAUUUAGUUUUUUUCCCCCCAGUUUGAAUUGGGAAGCUGGGGGAAGUUAAAUAUGAGCCACUGGGUGUACCAGUGCAUUAAUUUGGGCAAGGAAAGUGUCAUAAUUUGAUACUGUAUCUGUUUUCCUUCAAAGUAUAGAGCUUUUGGGGAAGGAAAGUAUUGAACUGGGGGUUGGUCUGGCCUACUGGGCUGACAUUAACUACAAUUAUGGGAAAUGCAAAAGUUGUUUGGAUAUGGUAGUGUGUGGUUCUCUUUUGGAAUUUUUUUCAGGUGAUUUAAUAAUAAUUUAAAACUACUAUAGAAACUGCAGAGCAAAGGAAGUGGCUUAAUGAUCCUGAAGGGAUUUCUUCUGAUGGUAGCUUUUGUAUUAUCAAACAGGUAUCUCUUCGUUAUCAGAAGAGUUGCUUCAUUUCAUCUGGGAGCAGAAAACAGCAGGCAGCUGUUAACAGAUAAGUUUAACUUGCAUCUGCAGUAUUGCAUGUUAGGGAUAAGUGCUUAUUUUUAAGAGCUGUGGAGUUCUUAAAUAUCAACCAUGGCACUUUCUCCUGACCCCUUCCCUAGGGGAUUUCAGGAUUGAGAAAUUUUUCCAUCGAGCCUUUUUAAAAUUGUAGGACUUGUUCCUGUGGGCUUCAGUGAUGGGAUAGUACACUUCACUCAGAGGCAUUUGCAUCUUUAAAUAAUUUCUUAAAAGCCUCUAAAGUGAUCAGUGCCUUGAUGCCAACUAAGGAAAUUUGUUUAGCAUUGAAUCUCUGAAGGCUCUAUGAAAGGAAUAGCAUGAUGUGCUGUUAGAAUCAGAUGUUACUGCUAAAAUUUACAUGUUGUGAUGUAAAUUGUGUAGAAAACCAUUAAAUCAUUCAAAAUAAUAAACUAUUUUUAUUAGAGAAUGUAUACUUUUAGAAAGCUGUCUCCUUAUUUAAAUAAAAUAGUGUUUGUCUGUAGUUCAGUGUUGGGGCAAUCUUGGGGGGGAUUCUUCUCUAAUCUUUCAGAAACUUUGUCUGCGAACACUCUUUAAUGGACCAGAUCAGGAUUUGAGCGGAAGAACGAAUGUAACUUUAAGGCAGGAAAGACAAAUUUUAUUCUUCAUAAAGUGAUGAGCAUAUAAUAAUUCCAGGCACAUGGCAAUAGAGGCCCUCUAAAUAAGGAAUAAAUAACCUCUUAGACAGGUGGGAGAUUAUGAUCAGAGUAAAAGGUAAUUACACAUUUUAUUUCCAGAAAGUCAGGGGUCUAUAAAUUGACAGUGAUUAGAGUAAUACUUUUUCACAUUUCCAAAGUUUGCAUGUUAACUUUAAAUGCUUACAAUCUUAGAGUGGUAGGCAAUGUUUUACACUAUUGACCUUAUAUAGGGAAGGGAGGGGGUGCCUGUGGGGUUUUAAAGAAUUUUCCUUUGCAGAGGCAUUUCAUCCUUCAUGAAGCCAUUCAGGAUUUUGAAUUGCAUAUGAGUGCUUGGCUCUUCCUUCUGUUCUAGUGAGUGUAUGAGACCUUGCAGUGAGUUUAUCAGCAUACUCAAAAUUUUUUUCCUGGAAUUUGGAGGGAUGGGAGGAGGGGGUGGGGCUUACUUGUUGUAGCUUUUUUUUUUUUUACAGACUUCACAGAGAAUGCAGUUGUCUUGACUUCAGGUCUGUCUGUUCUGUUGGCAAGUAAAUGCAGUACUGUUCUGAUCCCGCUGCUAUUAGAAUGCAUUGUGAAACGACUGGAGUAUGAUUAAAAGUUGUGUUCCCCAAUGCUUGGAGUAGUGAUUGUUGAAGGAAAAAAUCCAGCUGAGUGAUAAAGGCUGAGUGUUGAGGAAAUUUCUGCAGUUUUAAGCAGUCGUAUUUGUGAUUGAAGCUGAGUACAUUUUGCUGGUGUAUUUUUAGGUAAAAUGCUUUUUGUUCAUUUCUGGUGGUGGGAGGGGACUGAAGCCUUUAGUCUUUUCCAGAUGCAACCUUAAAAUCAGUGACAAGAAACAUUCCAAACAAGCAACAGUCUUCAAGAAAUUAAACUGGCAAGUGGAAAUGUUUAAACAGUUCAGUGAUCUUUAGUGCAUUGUUUAUGUGUGGGUUUCUCUCUCCCCUCCCUUGGUCUUAAUUCUUACAUGCAGGAACACUCAGCAGACACACGUAUGCGAAGGGCCAGAGAAGCCAGACCCAGUAAGAAAAAAUAGCCUAUUUACUUUAAAUAAACCAAACAUUCCAUUUUAAAUGUGGGGAUUGGGAACCACUAGUUCUUUCAGAUGGUAUUCUUCAGACUAUAGAAGGAGCUUCCAGUUGAAUUCACCAGUGGACAAAAUGAGGAAAACAGGUGAACAAGCUUUUUCUGUAUUUACAUACAAAGUCAGAUCAGUUAUGGGACAAUAGUAUUGAAUAGAUUUCAGCUUUAUGCUGGAGUAACUGGCAUGUGAGCAAACUGUGUUGGCGUGGGGGUGGAGGGGUGAGGUGGGCGCUAAGCCUUUUUUUAAGAUUUUUCAGGUACCCCUCACUAAAGGCACCGAAGGCUUAAAGUAGGACAACCAUGGAGCCUUCCUGUGGCAGGAGAGACAACAAAGCGCUAUUAUCCUAAGACCCUUCACCCCUCACCUCGAUGCAGCCAGUAGCUUGGAUCCUUGUGGGCAUGAUCCAUAAUCGGUUUCAAGGUAACGAUGGUGUCGAGGUCUUUGGUGGGUUGAACUAUGUUAGAAAAGGCCAUUAAUUUGCCUGCAAAUUGUUAACAGAAGGGUAUUAAAACCACAGCUAAGUAGCUCUAUUAUAAUACUUAUCCAGUGACUAAAACCAACUUAAACCAGUAAGUGGAGAAAUAACAUGUUCAAGAACUGUAAUGCUGGGUGGGAACAUGUAACUUGUAGACUGGAGAAGAUAGGCAUUUGAGUGGCUGAGAGGGCUUUUGGGUGGGAAUGCAAAAAUUCUCUGCUAAGACUUUUUCAGGUGAACAUAACAGACUUGGCCAAGCUAGCAUCUUAGCGGAAGCUGAUCUCCAAUGCUCUUCAGUAGGGUCAUGAAGGUUUUUCUUUUCCUG